Molecule: non-coding RNA, 1862 nt
Organism: Aegilops tauschii subsp. strangulata
Lineage: Eukaryota; Viridiplantae; Streptophyta; Magnoliopsida; Poales; Poaceae
Source: RefSeq, a predicted model, not a curated record
ACCAGCACAAGUGGCAACAGGCAGUAGUGGAGAAGGCAUGAAGAGGCCCACAUCUAAAAAUCUCAACUAUUCUAGGAUUUUUGAGCUGCUGACCAUGUGAUUGGUAGCCGACAAUUUCUUCAUGGGUUGCUGAUUUCUCAAGUUUUGCCUCACACAAAAGAGGGCUAGCAACACCUUUGACAGAAACAACCAACAUUCAGUGCAGAUCCGGUAUAUUCUGGUUGUCUUCCAUUUAGUUGACGGCAUGCAAGACUGAUCUGAUGCAUCUACUGCUUGUUGACUUGGUUAUAUUUAUCUAUAAAGUGGCAGUGGUGCAGAAUAUAUCCUCCGCCAUGGAAGGAGGUAUUUGAUGUUGUCAGAUGGCAUAUAGGUCAAUAAUGAGGUGACUGCCGGGGUAAUCUCAGGAAGGGACAAUGACACAAAUUAACUUUGUUGACAAGCUCACGAUCACGGGGAACAAGCCGUCCUGCAGUGUUUCCAUGUACUGCAAGUUGACGACAAGUUCAUUGUUGAUGCCAUGCAAUUUCUUACAAAAUACAUGUGGUACAGGUAUGAAGGCCGACACUGAUUAUCAAGUGGUGCUUUAGAAAGUGCAAGUAUGUGUCACAAUAAUGCCUGGAAAUCAGCCAGUGGCUGGAUUAUUUGAGCUAUUUUGGCGUCUCUGCCAUCCUAUAGUUGUUCAGUUUUCUCUUUUGAAACGAGGCUAUCUAGAGGAUUUCAUGUUGGGGUUUAGGAAGUCCCAUGUGCAUACUUUUUGCAGGCAUCAGUGAAGAUUGGGAGGUAGAGAGGGAUUGCUCAAGUGGAAACAGAUCAAGAACCAGAAGGAGCUCAAGAUUUUGCUACUUCCUUGGUAAUAGCUUUGUGAGAUCAGUUAAAUAUUAUCCAGGACCAUGCACCCGCCCUUGACAAUGGCUUCCAGAAGCUAAGGUUGUAGGGGUGAAUUAAAGUUUGAUUUUCCAGCAGCGAGGUAACUACUACCGAUGGAGAUCAAACUAAUGAGCUCACGAAAAAAAUAGACAUCAAACACCAAAGGAGGUUAGUUUUUACCUGAGUGGAAACAACAGUCGUAUCGUCUUGCUGGAGCCUCCUUUGUCAUGGAAAGUCACCAGCUUCAGGGAGUGCCAGCACAGCCAGAACAGACGCCACCUACGGCGGGGAGUGACAGUGGCAACUGCGCGGAUUUGGCUCACCCAUACGAGAAACGGCGGCGCCAUCUACCGAUUUCAUGGCUCUGAGCUGGAGCGGGAGCUGCUGGGUCGUCGGGAUGCAGAUGGAGCCCCUGCAACUCCGAGCUGCCGGGCCACUGAGAUGCAGAUGGAGCCGCAGCGCCUCCGAGCUGCAGCGGGAGCUGCUCCACCGCCAAGUUGCAGUGUGAGCCGCCGCGAAGAUGGAACCCAAGGUGCCCUCGUCCGCCUCCUCCAGCUGCUUCCUCACUUCAGUACGAGUACAGGGGGAGAGGAAUGGGACGAAGACUGGUGGAUGGAAUCAAGACCAGCGGUCAUGCGAGACACGUGGUAGGCAUUGUGCUACGUGGUGGCAGCUCAUGAAGCAACAAUUGACGUGUGUUGUUGUCUCUCAGCACGCUGUAUCUUGAGGGCAUGAUUGUAGUUUUCUUUAUCUUUGAGGUUUGUGAUGUUACUCAAACUGCCAGCCUUUUGGUUUCUGAUUUUAAUGAAAGCAGGGAGGCCCUCCUUGGGGCGCUUGAGUUUGUAAAAAAAAGACUAGCAGUCAACCACGUGGAAGAAGAUUAGGACAGAAUUGCAACAUAUGUAGGCCCAUAUAGCGGCUAUGCUGGACAACAAGGUCAUUUUCAAUGAUGAUGACACGUGCAGCAAUAGCUCAAUUAAUGUUCAUCACUUCAA